AUGAGAUGGUGAGGCUUCCUUGAAUCCAUCAGGAAGGACCUCAGCAACAACUAUCCAAAUCAUACACCCAGCAGCAAAGCCAGUAGCAAAUGGCAGAAAUUUGUGAAAUGCAUCAGCACACAUAUAUGAUGGUACUGCAACAAUUGGCUGGGGUAAGGAAGUUAAUAUACUCCAUAACAUGGCCUUCUGUGGAGAAACUCCUCUUGAUGCAAGAACCAUGCUCACAGCUAAACCCUCUGGUAUGUUGUGUACUGCAAUAGCCAGAGUUACCAAGAUACCCUGAGAAAGACCUUUCGAGCCAGCAAAGGAUACUCCAACACCAGCACCCUCCCCAAAUGAGUGAAGUGUCAUAAUUCCAACAACAAGGAUGACUUUCGUUGCAUCUGCUCCCUUAAUGUCCAGCAUACUUACUUCACCAUAUUGUUCAAGAAACUUUUUACAAAGCAAUAUGAAGAUACCACCGGCCAAAAUACCAGACACAACCCAUCCACCACUUCCAUGUUCCUGUCCUUCCUGAAUAAGGUCAAAGCUCGCCGCCAACAUCACUCCAGCUGCCAUUCCAUUGCAUACUCCUGACCAUUGAGGAUCCAGCUCCACAAAGAAAAAUGGUACUGCACCCAAACCACUAGCGGCAGCCAUUGCCAAAGUGAAUAAUGCUACUGUUGAAACAGACACUCUGGUGUUAUCACCUGUCCAUUCACCUUUUCCAUCCAUACUGAUAGAAUCGAUACCAUAUUCUUUACCAGAGCCAUCAAUUAUAUUGUUUCGGACAUUCUUUAGAGGAGCAGUUAUUACCCUUUGUACACCCACUUCUUCAGAUACAGCUGUGACAUAAGAAAUCAAAGCUGAUACAAACAGAAAGAAUAAAAGAACUUGCACAAAUCUCAACCCCAUAUUCUUCAUGAUUGG
This 909-nucleotide unclassified non-coding RNA is filed under the name Hevea brasiliensis (rubber tree). The record is from RNAcentral. Lineage: Eukaryota; Viridiplantae; Streptophyta; Magnoliopsida; Malpighiales; Euphorbiaceae.